UACGUAGGGUGCGAGCGUUGUCCGGAUUUAUUGGGCGUAAAGGGCUCGUAGGCGGCGUGUCGCGUCGGGAGUGAAAGCCCGUUGCUUAACGGCGGGUUGGCUUUCGGUACGGGCAUGCUGGAGUGCGGCAGGGGAGACUGGGAUUCCUGGUGUAGCGGUGGAAUGCGCAGAUAUCAGGAGGAACACCGGUGGCGAAGGCGGGUCUCUGGGCCGUUACUGACGCUGAGGAGCGAAAGCGUGGGGAGCGAACAGG
RNAcentral lists this ribosomal RNA (253 nucleotides) under uncultured bacterium. RNAcentral's name for it is "partial 16S ribosomal RNA". It matches the Rfam family "Bacterial small subunit ribosomal RNA", at positions 524 to 776 of the family's 1533-position model. The record is from RNAcentral.